RNAcentral lists this ribosomal RNA (593 nucleotides) under Amylostereum areolatum. RNAcentral describes it as "eukaryotic LSU rRNA". The stretch from base 250 to 404 matches the Rfam family "5.8S ribosomal RNA". Lineage: Eukaryota; Fungi; Basidiomycota; Agaricomycetes; Russulales; Stereaceae. The record is from RNAcentral.
GGUCCAUUUAGAGGAAGUAAAAGUCGUAACAAGGGUUUCCGUAGGUGAACCUGCGGGAAGGGAUCAUUAUCGAAUUCAGAAGGGCUUGGGGUUGUAGCUGGUCUUUCGGGGACAAGUGCUCGCCCUUGCUCUUUCCGACACACCCUGUGCACUCCCGCGUGGGGCUGCGGUGACUUCGGUUGCCGUGCCCGCGAUUUUAUACACUCUUUGUAUGUCUCAGAAUGUCUUUGCGUGUUGCGCAUCUAAUACAACUUUCAACAACGGAUCUCUUGGGCUCUCGCAUCGAUGAAGAACGCAGCGAAAUGCGAUAAGGUAAUGUGAAUUGCAGAAUUCAGUGAAUCAUCGAAUCUUGAACGCACCUUGCGCCCCUUGGUAUUCCGAGGGGCACACCUGUUUGAGUGUCGUGAAUUUCUCAACUCCGCCUCCUUUGCGGGAGCGCGGGGCUUGGAGUUGGAGGCUUGCGGGCGUAAGUCCGCUCCUCUCAAAUGCAUUAGUGAAGCCCAGGGGGGCCUCGGCGUGAUAAUUGUCUACGUCCAAGGUUGUCUGUAGCGGUUUUCGCUUCUAACCGUCCUUCGGGACAAUUCAUCGAAACU